GAUGAACGCUGGCGGCGUGCUUAACACAUGCAAGUCGAACGGUGAAGCAGGAGCUUGCUCUUGUGGAUCAGUGGCGAACGGGUGAGUAACACGUGAGCAACCUGCCCCUGACUCUGGGAUAAGCGCUGGAAACGGCGUCUAAUACUGGAUAUGUGAUGUGACCGCAUGGUCUGCAUCUGGAAAGAAUUUCGGUUGGGGAUGGGCUCGCGGCCUAUCAGCUUGUUGGUGAGGUAAUGGCUCACCAAGGCGUCGACGGGUAGCCGGCCUGAGAGGGUGACCGGGCAGACUGGGACUGAGACACGGCCCAGACUCCUACGGGAGGCAGCAGUGGGGAAUAUUGCACAAUGGGCGGAAGCCUGAUGCAGCAACGCCGCGUGAGGGAUGACGGCCUUCGGGUUGUAAACCUCUUUUAGCAGGGAAGAAGCGAAGGUGACGGUACCUGCAGAAGAAGCACCGGCUAACUACGUGCCAGCAGCCGCCGUAA
This 484-nucleotide ribosomal RNA is filed under the name uncultured bacterium. RNAcentral's name for it is "partial 16S ribosomal RNA". It matches the Rfam family "Bacterial small subunit ribosomal RNA", at positions 28 to 523 of the family's 1533-position model. The record is from RNAcentral.